Long non-coding RNA from Mercenaria mercenaria, 1641 nucleotides. RefSeq lists it as uncharacterized. The record is from RefSeq and is a predicted model, not a curated record. NCBI's taxonomy places the organism in Eukaryota, Metazoa, Mollusca, Bivalvia, Venerida, Veneridae. The transcript has 2 exons.
GACAUGGCUUAAAUAGAAAUUAUUGCACUGGAAAAGUCGUGAGUCAUGCAGCAAGCAAUGAGUCCAGUACCAUCUCCUGCAGUAGUUGGACCUUCAAGCAAGUUCAGUACGACAUCUGUUUUAUCUAUUCCAUCUCAUUGGUUAUUGAAAACCUCUAGAACUGCAUGGUCAAAGAGGUAAACAUGAAGAGAAAAAGGAUUAUAUGACUAUCUAUGGACUCCAUGAUAGAUACCUAUGGAGGCAGGCCAACUGACACAGAAACCUGCAACUGACUGGGACACUGAUGGCAUUGUAUCCGAUAUUGAGGGAUAAUACAAACAAUGGAAUCUGGGAGAAAUAUGUAAUUGGGCACUUAGAUCCGAUAGAUUGAUGACACUGGGCGGAAUGUAGCUCAGGAGCAUAAAGGCCUAGCAGAUGAGACAUUCUAGACACUGACUAGGAAAAUAAGAGACAAAAUGGCAUUCCUUUUGUUCAUCAAGGACAAAGUGUUGCUGAAGUGCUCCCCAGCUGGCUGAGCUGAGGUCAUACUGUCAUGGAGUCGUACUGUUUGGUGGAUGAGGCAUAUCUAAGUAACCUAAAUCGAUCUUUGCUGUUUAACAUAAGUUACAAGAACUUAUCCAUGACAACACUAAACAAAGCAAUGAAGUCAUACCAGUCAUUCAUAGAUGCUGUGCCUGAGGAAAAUAUAUUGUAGAACCAGAAAUUUUUGCUAUCUUCCCAGUAAGAGUCACAGAAAUAAACAUGUUGUGACAGGACUUUAGUGGUUCAAUAUUGAAAUGAAAAUGACAAAAGAAUAUUAAAAAAAAUGAGGAAAUCAUUUUAUGCUACUACAUAUAGAGAAUAGAAAACGAAAAGGCCAACUUUCUUAGCUCACCUGUCACAGUGACAGGGCGAGCUUUUGUGAUUGCCCGUCGUCCGUCCAUCCGUCCAGUUAACUCUGUUCAGUUUUAUUUCCGAGAGUAUACCUAUAUAGCUCUGUUCAGUUUUAUUUCCAGGAGUAAACAUAUAGCUCUGUUCAAUUUUAUUUUUGAGAGUAUGCAUUAAUUUAUUACAUAUAGCUCUGUUCAGUUUUAUUUCCGAGAGUGUACAUAUAGCUCUGUUCAGUUUUAUUUUUGAGUGUGUAAAUAUAGCUCUGUUCAAUUUUAUUUCCAAGAGUGUAAAUAAACCUCUGUUCAGUUUUAUUUCCGAGUGUGUAAAUGUAGCUCUGUUCAGUUACAUUUCAGAGAGUGUAAAUAUAUCUCUGUUCAUAGUUUUAUAUUUCUGAGAGUGUAUACAGUUUUAUGAUGUGUGUGUGUUCAGUUGCAAGAAAGAAAAUGUUCAGCAUUUACUAUUUUUCAUGUGUGGCCGAGUUGUAAUGGUCCAUGACAUUGGAACACUCGAGUACCCUUUCCUUCAGAUGGAUGCAGAAUUCUUUCAUGUGAGGAAGACAAAAGUUUGGUAGUUGUACCCAGGUCUUCUUUAAGCACCCAUGUAAAUUUGAAAUGCCACUACUUUGUUGUUUUGCAGGUUGAAACUUUUAACAUGUCAAAUCAGUUGUACUUCAUACUUGGUAUACAUACUUUAUGCAGCUGUGAUGAAAAUAUUGCAUUGUUUUUGUGUGUUUUGUCUAUUAUGAUUGCAGUAAGUAAACUUUAAACAUUA